This 253-nucleotide ribosomal RNA is filed under the name uncultured bacterium. Its description in RNAcentral is "partial 16S ribosomal RNA". It matches the Rfam family "Bacterial small subunit ribosomal RNA", at positions 524 to 776 of the family's 1533-position model. The record is from RNAcentral.
UACAGAGGUGGCAAGCGUUGUUCGGAAUUACUGGGCGUAAAGGGCGCGUAGGCGGUUCGUUAAGUCCUGUGUGAAAUCCCCCGGCUCAACUGGGGAACUGCACAGGAAACUAGCGGGCUUGAGUUCGGGAGAGGGAAGCGGAAUUCCGGGUGUAGCGGUGAAAUGCGUAGAUAUCUGGAGGAACACCGGUGGCGAAGGCGGCAUCCUGGACCGGUAUUGACGCUGAGGAGCGAAAGCCAGGGGAGCAAACGGG